Molecule: ribosomal RNA, 497 nt
Filed under: uncultured bacterium
Lineage: Bacteria
Description: partial 16S ribosomal RNA
Rfam family: Bacterial small subunit ribosomal RNA
Source: RNAcentral
GAUGAACGCUGGCGGCGUGCCUAAUACAUGCAAGUCGAGCGAACGGACGAGAAGCUUGCUUCUCUGAUGUUAGCGGCGGACGGGUGAGUAACACGUGGAUAACCUACCUAUAAGACUGGGAUAACUUCGGGAAACCGGAGCUAAUACCGGAUGAUAUUUUGAACCGCAUGGUUCAAAAGUGAAAGACGGUCUUGCUGUCACUUAUAGAUGGAUCCGCGCUGCAUUAGCUAGUUGGUAAGGUAAUGGCUUACCAAGGCAACGAUGCAUAGCCGACCUGAGAGGGUGAUCGGCCACACUGGAACUGAGACACGGCCCAGACUCCUACGGGAGGCAGCAGUAGGGAAUCUUCCGCAAUGGGCGAAAGCCUGACGGAGCAACGCCGCGUGAGUGAUGAAGGUCUUCGGAUCGUAAAACUCUGUUAUUAGGGAAGAACAUAUGUGUAAGUAACUGUGCACAUCUUGACGGUACCUAAUCAGAAAGCCACGGCUAACUACGUG